GACGAACGCUGGCGGCGUGCUCAACACAUGCAAGUCGAACGGAAAGGCCCUGCUUUUGUGGGGUGCUCGAGUGGCGAACGGGUGAGUAACACGUGAGUAACCUGCCCUUGACUUUGGGAUAACUUCAGGAAACUGGGGCUAAUACCGGAUAGGAGCUCCUGCUGCAUGGUGGGGGUUGGAAAGUUUCGGCGGUUGGGGAUGGACUCGCGGCUUAUCAGCUUGUUGGUGGGGUAGUGGCUUACCAAGGCUUUGACGGGUAGCCGGCCUGAGAGUGUGACCGGCCACAUUGGGACUGAGAUACGGCCCAGACUCCUACGGGAGGCAGCAGUGGGGAAUAUUGCACAAUGGGCGGAAGCCUGAUGCAGCAACGCCGCGUGCGGGAUGACGGCCUUCGGGUUGUAAACCGCUUUCGCCUGUGACGAAGCGUGAGUGACGGUAAUGGGUAAAGAAGCACCGGCUAACUACGUG
Molecule: ribosomal RNA, 468 nt
Filed under: uncultured bacterium
Lineage: Bacteria
Description: partial 16S ribosomal RNA
Rfam family: Bacterial small subunit ribosomal RNA
Source: RNAcentral